AUGUGGUUUUUUCGCGGAAGCGGCUUCACCGAAAAGGCCGAAAGGCGCGGGGCGACCACAGUGUUGAACUGCGCGGAACUUUCUCAAUUGCCAACCCCUUGCCGAAUAGUGGAAUUUAUACUAGCCCCAGGGUCUGUGGGCAGGGAUGAAAGCUCAGACUCCCCAGUCUCCAAUCACGGGAUCAGGUCCCUCCCAACCCUUUACCACCCACCCCUUCUCCGUCCCUUCCCUUUCGUCCACGUUCGCUUCAUUUUUAGUAGUUUCAUCGAAGAGCGAGCGAGGCGCAACAAGAGAAAUAUAGUCGUAAGUUUAUGCCAUGUUGCCGACAGAAUCGUGCAAUCAGCGCCUUCGAUAGCUCAGUUGGCAGAGCGGUGGACUGUAGUUGAGUUCAGAACGGUAAUCCAUAGGUCGCUGGUUCAACUCCGGCUCGAAGGACAUAAUUUUUUGACUGUACCAAUUUUUAAAGAAUAAUAAACCUGACCUCCAAUGCGCCAGUUAGACUCCUUUGAAAGCACUCUGAGCUGAAAUGAUACUUUUCAAAUGAACUGAUCAACAUUUAAUAAAUUCAAUAUCUGAUGCUCGACGAGUUUCCAAAAGGAAAACUAGGUUCAGCACAAACACCUACCAUCAUGAACUAGUAAACGUUUAACAAUUUAAGGUAGUAGAAAAUUACAUACGCUCUGAAAAUUUUGCAUCAACUGCAUAAACGAAUUUUCCGUGAGCUGAACUUGUUUAGUUUGUCCUUACAGCAUUUAGAGAAAAAGCCCCCCCCCCCCCAAAAAAAAAAAUAAAUAAAAAAAAUAUUUGGGAUUUAUUACCCUAAAAAUCCUAUAUAAUAAUGUAAUAUUUUAAGUUCAUUACUUUUAUUCUUUUUUUAAUUAUUUAUUUCUACAGUAGGUCAGUUGUGCUGGGCUCAGAAUUGUGUUUUGAAGCUUGACUAUACUGUUGGAUAGCCCCUGCUCAAACAAUAACUUUCAACGUUCAAUAUUAUUGAGAUAUCGCGGUUUAAAAAAAUCGGUUUAUGACGUCAUCCACCGUGGUAUUAACACCCUUGAUUUCUUUCAUCGUGCUCUCAUCCAAGUUUCACGUUGAGUAACCAGUGCAAGUGUGUGCCUCACUAAUUGAUGGGAGCGAGGUGAUAGAAUCAAGAGCGUCACUACCGCGGUAGAUGAAGUCUCAAAACCGAAUUUUAGCGCGAUAUCUUGUCCAAUAUUAAUCGUAGAGGGUUGCUGUUUGGACAGAGCUUGUUAUUUUUUGGCUGAUCUGCUAGAUUCAAGCAACAAAGUACGAUUCUGAGACCAGCAAUUGACCCAUUUGCAACUGAUUGCACAUUCGUGUGUAAAAUAAUGCUGAUACAUAUUACGUAUACGUUCCUCAGUACCUAGAGGGCUUCGUAUGAAAAGAAUCCUCCCCGCCAUGCAUUCGCUGUAUACCAGGAGAAAUAAUGAAUGAAAAAC
This 1457-nucleotide transfer RNA is filed under the name Bemisia tabaci. RNAcentral's name for it is "lncRNA ENSSSA1UGG001309". The stretch from base 346 to 435 matches the Rfam family "tRNA". The record is from RNAcentral. Lineage: Eukaryota; Metazoa; Arthropoda; Insecta; Hemiptera; Aleyrodidae.